GUGGAGGGGGGAUUAGCUUGUUGGUGAGGUAAUGGCUCACCAAGGCGACGAUCAGUAUCUGGUUUGAGAGGACGAUCAGACACACUGGAACUGAGACACGGUCCAGACUCCUACGGGAGGCAGCAGUAGGGAAUUUUCCGCAAUGGGCGAAAGCCUGACGGAGCAAUCUCGCGUGAGGGAUGACGGCCUAUGGGUUGUAAACCUCUUUUUUCAGGGAGGAAUAAAUGACGUGUACCUGAAGAAUAAGCAUCGGCUAACUCCGUGCCAGCAGCCGCGGUAAGACGGAGGAUGCAAGUGUUAUCCGGAAUCACUGGGCGUAAAGCGUCUGUAGGUGGUUUAAUAAGUCAACUGUUAAAUCUUAAAGCUUAACUUUGAAAUCGCAGUCGAAACUAUUAGACUAGAGUUAUAGUAGA
RNAcentral lists this ribosomal RNA (413 nucleotides) under Cylindrotheca closterium. Its description in RNAcentral is "bacterial SSU rRNA". It matches the Rfam family "Bacterial small subunit ribosomal RNA", at positions 229 to 656 of the family's 1533-position model. The record is from RNAcentral. Lineage: Eukaryota; Bacillariophyta; Bacillariophyceae; Bacillariales; Bacillariaceae.